UGGGUUGUGGCUCAGCGGUAGAGUGCUUGCCUGGCACGUGAGAGGUGCUGGGUUGGAGCUCAGCACCACAU
This 71-nucleotide transfer RNA is filed under the name Ictidomys tridecemlineatus (thirteen-lined ground squirrel). RNAcentral's name for it is "Spermophilus tridecemlineatus (thirteen-lined ground squirrel) tRNA". It matches the Rfam family "tRNA". From Rfam's summary of the family: Transfer RNA (tRNA) molecules are approximately 80 nucleotides in length. Their secondary structure includes four short double-helical elements and three loops (D, anti-codon, and T loops). Lineage: Eukaryota; Metazoa; Chordata; Mammalia; Rodentia; Sciuridae. The record is from Rfam by way of RNAcentral.